RNAcentral lists this transfer RNA (64 nucleotides) under Cavia porcellus (domestic guinea pig). It matches the Rfam family "tRNA". From Rfam's summary of the family: Transfer RNA (tRNA) molecules are approximately 80 nucleotides in length. Their secondary structure includes four short double-helical elements and three loops (D, anti-codon, and T loops). Lineage: Eukaryota; Metazoa; Chordata; Mammalia; Rodentia; Caviidae. The record is from Rfam by way of RNAcentral.
GGGGAUUUAGCUCAGUGGCAUAAGCGCCUGCCUUGUAAGCAGGUGGUCGAGAGUUCGAUCCCCG